Molecule: ribosomal RNA, 376 nt
Filed under: uncultured bacterium
Lineage: Bacteria
Description: bacterial SSU rRNA
Rfam family: Bacterial small subunit ribosomal RNA
Source: RNAcentral
UACAGAGGGGGCUAGCGUUGUUCGGAAUUACUGGGCGUAAAGGGCGCGUAGGUGGCCUGUUAAGUCGAACGUGAAAUCCCCGGGCUCAACCCGGGAACUGCGUCCGAGACUGAUAGGCUCGAAUCCGGGAGAGGGAUGUGGAAUUCCAGGUGUAGCGGUAAAAUGCGUAGAUAUCUGGAGGAACACCGGUGGCGAAGGCGGCAUCCUGGACCGGUAUUGACGCUGAGGCGCGAAAGCCAGGGGAGCAAACGGGAUUAGAUACCCCGGUAGUCCUGGCCCUAAACGAUGAAUGCUUGGUGUGGCGGGUAUCGAUCCCUGCCGUGCCGAAGCUAACGCAUUAAGCAUUCCGCCUGGGGAGUACGGUCGCAAGGCUGAA